GCAUCCAUGAUCAGUUUCCCAAGAUUGGAAGCUGCUGUCAUUGCAUUAUCUGAUGAGUACACAAAAGUUUCUACUUCGGUCGAUGAUGCAAGGGUAGCUUAUUUGAACAGCCAACUGCCACCUCUGUUCUGAAAAAAAUUACACAACCCUACAUUCAAGUUGACUUGAAAGAAGACCUUCCAAAAAUUUAAUAGUCACGAAGAACACCAAUAGAUCAAACGAUGCACUUCUCUUGGAGAUAAGGAAGAAGAAGAUUGUUCCAGGAUUGUUCUGAAUGUAGCCUUGUCAUCAAUACUUUUGAAGUUCUCAAAAGAAGAUAUCUUUUUUUUUAUAACAAAGAAAUAUGUCUAUGACCUUUCCCUUGGACCAAUCACAUCUUUCUAAACUCGGUGGAUUAUGUUUCCG
Molecule: unclassified non-coding RNA, 405 nt
Filed under: Hevea brasiliensis (rubber tree)
Lineage: Eukaryota; Viridiplantae; Streptophyta; Magnoliopsida; Malpighiales; Euphorbiaceae
Source: RNAcentral